Molecule: ribosomal RNA, 253 nt
Filed under: uncultured bacterium
Lineage: Bacteria
Description: partial 16S ribosomal RNA
Rfam family: Bacterial small subunit ribosomal RNA
Source: RNAcentral
UACGUAGGGUGCAAGCGUUAUCCGGAAUUAUUGGGCGUAAAGCGUCCGCAGGUGGCACUUCAAGUCUGUCGUCAAAGACUGGGGCUUAACCCCGGAAAGGCGGUGGAAACUGAAGCGCUAGAGUGCGGUAGGGGUAGAGGGAAUUCCCGGUGUAGCGGUGAAAUGCGUAGAGAUCGGGAAGAACAUCGGUGGCGAAAGCGCUCUACUGGACCGCAACUGACACUCAGGGACGAAAGCUAGGGGAGCGAAUGGG